UACGGAGGGUGCAAGCGUUAUCCGGAUUCACUGGGUUUAAAGGGUGCGUAGGUGGGCAAGUAAGUCAGUGGUGAAAUCUCCGUGCUUAACACGGAAACUGCCAUUGAUACUAUGUUUCUUGAAUUUUCCGGAGGUCAGCGGAAUAUGUCAUGUAGCGGUGAAAUGCUUAGAUAUGACAUAGAACACCAAUUGCGAAGGCAGCUGACUACAGGGACAUUGACACUGAGGCACGAAAGCGUGGGGAUCAAACAGG
Molecule: ribosomal RNA, 253 nt
Filed under: uncultured bacterium
Lineage: Bacteria
Description: partial 16S ribosomal RNA
Rfam family: Bacterial small subunit ribosomal RNA
Source: RNAcentral